This 402-nucleotide ribosomal RNA is filed under the name uncultured Alphaproteobacteria bacterium. Its description in RNAcentral is "bacterial SSU rRNA". It matches the Rfam family "Bacterial small subunit ribosomal RNA", at positions 355 to 774 of the family's 1533-position model. The record is from RNAcentral. Lineage: Bacteria; Pseudomonadati; Pseudomonadota; Alphaproteobacteria.
UGGGGAAUAUUGGACAAUGGGCGCAAGCCUGAUCCAGCCAUGCCGCGUGUGUGAUGAAGGCCUUAGGGUUGUAAAGCACUUUCACCGAUGAAGAUAAUGACGGUAGUCGGAGAAGAAGCCCCGGCUAACUUCGUGCCAGCAGCCGCGGUAAUACGAAGGGGGCUAGCGUUGUUCGGAAUCACUGGGCGUAAAGCGCACGUAGGCGGAUUGUUAAGUGAGGGGUGAAAUCCCAGGGCUCAACCCUGGAACUGCCUUUCAUACUGGCAAUCUCGAGUUCGAGAGAGGUAAGUGGAAUUCCGAGUGUAGAGGUGAAAUUCGUAGAUAUUCGGAGGAACACCAGUGGCGAAGGCGGCUUACUGGAUCGAUACUGACGCUGAGGUGCGAAAGCGUGGGGAGCAAACA